RNAcentral lists this ribosomal RNA (433 nucleotides) under uncultured bacterium. RNAcentral's name for it is "partial 16S ribosomal RNA". It matches the Rfam family "Bacterial small subunit ribosomal RNA", at positions 29 to 507 of the family's 1533-position model. The record is from RNAcentral.
AACGAACGCUGGCGGCAUGCCUAACACAUGCAAGUCGAACGAGACCUUCGGGUCUAGUGGCGCACGGGUGCGUAACGCGUGGGAACCUGCCCUUAGGUUCGGAAUAACUCCCCGAAAGGGGUGCUAAUACCGGAUAAUGUCUUCGGACCAAAGAUUUAUCGCCUUUGGAUGGGCCCGCGUUGGAUUAGCUAGUUGGUAGGGUAAAAGCCUACCAAGGCGACGAUCCAUAGCUGGUAUGAGAGGAUGAUCAGCCACACUGGGACUGAGACACGGCCCAGACUCCUACGGGAGGCAGCAGUGGGUAAUAUUGGACAAUGGGCGAAAGCCUGAUCCAGCAAUGCGGCGUGAGUGAUGAAGGCCUUAGGGUUGUAAAGCUCUUUUACCCGGGAUGAUAAUGACAGUACCGGGAGAAUAAGCUCCGGCUAACUCCGUG